UACGUAGGGUGCAAGCGUUGUCCGGAUUUAUUGGGCGUAAAGAGCUCGUAGGCGGCUCGUUGCGUCGGCUGUGAGAACCCGCAGCUCAACUGUGGGCUUGCAGCCGAUACGGGCGGGCUGGGAUUCGGUAGGGGAGACUGGAAUUCCUGGUGUAGCGGUGAAAUGCGCAGAUAUCAGGAGGAACACCGGUGGCGAAGGUGGGUCUCUGGGCCGAUAUCGACGCUGAGGAGCGAAAGCGUGGGGAGCGAACAGG
RNAcentral lists this ribosomal RNA (253 nucleotides) under uncultured bacterium. RNAcentral describes it as "partial 16S ribosomal RNA". It matches the Rfam family "Bacterial small subunit ribosomal RNA", at positions 524 to 776 of the family's 1533-position model. The record is from RNAcentral.